ACUCAACACGGGAAACCUCACCAGGCCCGGACACCGGAAGGAUUGACAGAUUGAGAGCUCUUUCUUGAUUCGGUGGGUGGUGGUGCAUGGCCGUUCUUAGUUGGUGGAGCGAUUUGUCUGGUUAAUUCCGAUAACGAACGAGACUCUAGCCUGCUAACUAGGCGAUUUCCGGUACCCACAACAGUGUUACCGGCGAUUCAAUUUCUUCUUAGAGGGACAGGCGGCUCCUAGCCGCACGAGACUGAGCAAUAACAGGUCUGUGAG
RNAcentral lists this ribosomal RNA (264 nucleotides) under Poeciloterpa atra. RNAcentral's name for it is "partial small subunit ribosomal RNA". It matches the Rfam family "Eukaryotic small subunit ribosomal RNA", at positions 1198 to 1468 of the family's 1831-position model. Lineage: Eukaryota; Metazoa; Arthropoda; Insecta; Hemiptera; Cercopidae. The record is from RNAcentral.